This 253-nucleotide ribosomal RNA is filed under the name uncultured prokaryote. RNAcentral's name for it is "partial 16S ribosomal RNA". It matches the Rfam family "Bacterial small subunit ribosomal RNA", at positions 524 to 776 of the family's 1533-position model. The record is from RNAcentral.
UACGGAGGGUGCAAGCGUUAUCCGGAUUCACUGGGUUUAAAGGGUGCGUAGGCGGGUCUUUAAGUCAGGGGUGAAAUCCUGGAGCUCAACUCCAGAACUGCCUUUGAUACUGAGGAUCUUGAGUUCGGGAGAGGUGAGUGGAACUGCGAGUGUAGAGGUGAAAUUCGUAGAUAUUCGCAAGAACACCAGUGGCGAAGGCGGCUCACUGGCCCGAUACUGACGCUGAGGCACGAAAGCGUGGGGAGCAAACAGG